RNAcentral lists this ribosomal RNA (597 nucleotides) under Anopheles xui. RNAcentral describes it as "eukaryotic LSU rRNA". It matches the Rfam family "Eukaryotic large subunit ribosomal RNA", at positions 287 to 680 of the family's 3401-position model. The record is from RNAcentral. Lineage: Eukaryota; Metazoa; Arthropoda; Insecta; Diptera; Culicidae.
UCAUAGUGGGAGUACUCCUUCUAAGCUAAAUACCGCCAUGAGACCGAUAGUAAACAAGUACCGUGAGGGAAAGUUGAAAAGCACUCUGAAUAGAGAGUCAAAGAGUACGUGAAACUGCCAAGGGUGUAAAACUUGUGGAACUCAUUUUUCCGCGACUUAAAAAGGCGGAGCGCUACGUCCCAUGGUUUUCAGACCCUUUACGGGUAUGAAACCAGGGAAGGGCACCCCCAACUUUUAGGUCAAUGCGGACAUCGUGAUCCAUUACGAAACGGUCGCGUUCGACCCUCCGGGGUCGGCGCAGCUUCUCUGACACCAAAGGUCCCAGGACUACUGCGGUCAACCCUCUAGUAGUGGCGCUCAGCUUAAGGCCGGCGCCGCGAACGGGGGAUCGAGGCCUCCGGGCUUCGAGUUUGGCCAGUCCCGGUGUGCCGUCGGGGGCGUGAUGGAUUCCAAACGAAAGAGGGCUAGCUGGAAGCGCAUGUUUGGGCAUGUAACUGGGCGCGAGCCCGGGGCGACCACUGCUCCCGAUCGACGAUGCAUUAACAAAGUGAGGUACCCACGGGACCCGUCUUGAAACACGGACAAGAAAAUUCACCA